Molecule: long non-coding RNA, 1756 nt
Organism: Mastomys coucha (southern multimammate mouse)
Lineage: Eukaryota; Metazoa; Chordata; Mammalia; Rodentia; Muridae
Exons: 5
Source: RefSeq, a predicted model, not a curated record
CACACCUUGCUGCAUGAUCUCCACAAUCUGCACCACCUUGUCCAUGUGCUUCCGAGCAGCAAUCAGCCCUUGCAGCAUGAGCAUCUUGUAGUAGUUGAACAUAUCACCAUUCAGGCCACCCAUUACCUGGAAGCAAGGAGAGGGUCUGUGCACAGAGGAAUUCUGGUGGGUCCUUUCCCUGUGGGCCUCUCAAGAGCUUCCUUCUCUUAAGGCAAUCAUGUUAAAUUUCACUACCACUAUCUUCACAUUUUCUUUCAUAAGAAAGCUUUCAGGAAAUCCUGCCUCAUCUUGACUUAUUGCCAUUUCUGUUCUGUUCCUAACUUGGGGAGCUUAUCAGCUCCUCUCAGAGGAAGAACACAGUGACCCUUGGAAGCACCUCUUUUUUGACUCACAUCCACAAAUUCUGUGGUCAGCUUAAAGGCUGAUGUCUCGAAGCCCAGGUUUCGGGGUGAGCUGGAAAGGAUGAAGCCAAAGUCGAUGUGGAUGAUGUGACCUUCUGCGUCCAGAAGGAUGUUCCCAUUGUGCCUGAGGAAGAGGCAACAUGACUUUUUUGGAUAAAUUUUUAAAAAUGUAUAUUUCACCUUUUAAAAUUCAGAACUUAACAAAUUCCACUUACUGGAAAUUCAUACUAUUAGAAUACCCUGAAGUACAUUUAAUAAAAAGAGGUAAGUUUCUUGGUUGCAACAGUGGACAUGCUCUUUUCAGUUCCCCCAAGUGACAGUUAUGUUAAAUUUCACUCCAGACUUCUGUUACGAUCUUAUGACCAGGAUACCACCAGAGUGAACACUUUCCAGAAAUAAAAGAAGUAAUCGAGCAAGGAGAGCUGUGACUGUUUCUUCACCUGGUGGAUGGACACAGCAUUGACUACUGGUUCAAUCAUGCCACUGUCAGCUGAAAUCACAAGAAUCUUAUAUGGCUUGAUCCAAAGAGGCACUCGCUCCUGUUCCCAAAUGGACUGUGAAGAGACACAAAGUUGUUUCAACACCUGGAAAGCCAGCAGCUCCUGGCGAAGGUCAUCUCCACACUUGACAAUGACUGAAAGUAGUCGCCAAUUGGGAAGAUGGCCAUACGGGGAACCUUCUCUGAUCCUCCUGUGAAGAAAGAAGUCAUAGGAUGAUGCCAGGCUCAAGCAAUGUCUCAGCUGCACCUUCAGGGCCUCAAGUACUGAACAAGGACAGAAUAAGGAGAUAAGGGAGACACAAGCCUGACAGCUGGUGACCAGACACAGGACAAAGAGAGGCAGAGUGAAGAAGAUCAAGAUGAAGGAUGAUGUGAUCAGGCCAUACCGGAUGUCUCCUGCUGCAAUGAACACAGGCUCCUUGCUCUCCUGGCUAGUGAUGCUGUCCACUGAGAACUGGGAGAUGUUGUCACAGCUGUUGGUAUGCACUUCAGGGAGCUGGGAAGAGCAGGUCAGAAGUGCUUAAUACAGAUCUCCCUCUUGCCCUCUGCUCACUUGCCACUAACUACCUAAGGCACUCCACAGCAGUGUUCUCAAAGUGUGAACUACUCCAGGAAGUGCAGAUUUUCAGUUCUCACCAUCAGCCCAAAUUAAAACUAUUGGGAAUGAAAUCUAGAAGCUGCAUUUUUGUGAACUUUCUAGAAUACUUCCAAUACUCUCUAAGAACGGUCUCAAACCCGAUUUCCCAGCUUCCACUUCAGUGCUGGAACUAUAGGUGAACCACCAUACCCAGAUGGUUUCUUCAGACUAAAUCUCCACCUAAUCUCCUCACUCUUAACUAUAAAAUAUUCUGCCAGA